Molecule: ribosomal RNA, 406 nt
Filed under: uncultured bacterium
Lineage: Bacteria
Description: partial 16S ribosomal RNA
Rfam family: Bacterial small subunit ribosomal RNA
Source: RNAcentral
GACGAACGCUGGCGGCGUGCUUAACACAUGCAAGUCGAACGAGUGGCGGACGGGUGAGUAAUGUCUGGGAAACUGCCCGAUGGAGGGGGAUAACUACUGGAAACGGUAGCUAAUACCGCAUACCCUCGGAUGUGCCCAGAUGGGAUUAGCUAGUAGGUGGGGUAACGGCUCACCAAGGCGACGAUCCCUAGCUGGUCUGAGAGGAUGACCAGACACCCUGGAAAGAAGACACGGUCCAGACUCCUACGGGAGGCAGCAGUGGGGAAUAGUGCACAAUGGGGGCAAGCCUGAUGAAGCCAUGCCGCGUGUAUGAAGAAGGCCUUCGGGUUGUAAAGUACUUUCAGCGAGGAGGCGUUACUCGCACAAGAAGAACAGGAUAACUACGUGCCAGCAGCCGCGGUAAUAC